AAGUCGUAACAAGGUUUCCGUAGGUGAACCUGCGGAAGGAUCAUUAAAAGGUUUAUCUGGGGGUGGGUGAAACCCCCCUAGAAAACUCCACCCUUGUGUAUUAUUACUUGUUGCUUUGGUGGGCCGCGAGAUUGCCUAGCGAUUGAGCACCGGCUUCGGCUGGGGAGCGCCUGCCAGAGGACCAAACUCUGUUAUUUUAUGUCGUCUGAGUACUAUUUAAUAGUUAAAACUUUCAACAACGGAUCUCUUGGUUCUG
RNAcentral lists this unclassified non-coding RNA (256 nucleotides) under fungal sp. Its description in RNAcentral is "partial internal transcribed spacer region". The stretch from base 1 to 46 matches the Rfam family "Eukaryotic small subunit ribosomal RNA", at positions 1786 to 1831 of the family's 1831-position model. Lineage: Eukaryota; Fungi. The record is from RNAcentral.